AAAUCAGCUCUUUUUAGAGCUACCAUAUACAUAUUUAACACAAUG
Molecule: non-coding RNA, 45 nt
Organism: Dufourea novaeangliae
Lineage: Eukaryota; Metazoa; Arthropoda; Insecta; Hymenoptera; Halictidae
Source: Rfam